CCCUACCGCUGAGUUACCAGCACGUAAAGUGGGGACGUCUCAUGGACUGCCGGCGACAAGCCGGAGGAGGUGGGGACGGACGUCAAGUCAUCAUGGCCCUCAUGUCCAGGGCGACACACGUGCUACAAUGGCCGGCACAACGGGAAGCGACGGCGCGAGUCGUAGCGGAUCCCUCAAAGCCGGUCCCAGUUCGGAUUGCAGUCUGCAACUCGACUGCAUGAAGCCGGAAUCGCUAGUAAUCGUGAAUCAGAAUGUCACGGUGAAUACGUUCCCGGGCCUU
Molecule: ribosomal RNA, 280 nt
Filed under: uncultured Thermanaerovibrio sp.
Lineage: Bacteria; Thermotogati; Synergistota; Synergistia; Synergistales; Synergistaceae
Description: partial 16S ribosomal RNA
Rfam family: Bacterial small subunit ribosomal RNA
Source: RNAcentral